GAUGAACGUUGGCGGCGUGCCUAAUACAUGCAAGUCGAGCGAACGGACGAGAAGCUUGCUUCUCUGAUGUUAGCGGCGGACGGGUGAGUAACACGUGGAUAACCUACCUAUAAGACUGGGAUAACUUCGGGAAACCGUAGCUAAUACCGGAUAAUAUUUUGAACCGCAUGGUUCAAAAGUGAAAGACGGUCUUGCUGUCACUUAUAGAUGGAUCCGCGCUGCAUUAGCUAGUUGGUAAGGUAACGGCUUACCAAGGCAACGAUGCAUAGCCGACCUGAGAGGGUGAUCGGCCACACUGGAACUGAGACACGGUCCAGACUCCUACGGGAGGCAGCAGUAGGGAAUCUUCCGCAAUGGGCGAAAGCCUGACGGAGCAACGCCGCGUGAGUGAUGAAGGUCUUCGGAUCGUAAAACUCUGUUAUUAGGGAAGAACAUAUGUGUAAGUAACUGUGCACAUCUUGACGGUACCUAAUCAGAAAGCCACGGCUAACUACGUG
Molecule: ribosomal RNA, 497 nt
Filed under: uncultured bacterium
Lineage: Bacteria
Description: partial 16S ribosomal RNA
Rfam family: Bacterial small subunit ribosomal RNA
Source: RNAcentral